GGGGAAUAUUGCACAAUGGGCGAAAGCCUGAUGCAGCAACGCCGCGUGAGUGAUGAAGGUCUUCGGAUUGUAAAGCUCUGUCUUUUGGGACGAUAAUGACGGUACCAAAGGAGGAAGCCACGGCUAACUACGUGCCAGCAGCCGCGGUAAUACGUAGGUGGCGAGCGUUGUCCGGAUUUACUGGGCGUAAAGGGUGCGUAGGCGGAUGUUUAAGUGAGAUGUGAAAUACCCGGGCUUAACUUGGGUGCUGCAUUUCAAACUGGAUAUCUAGAGUGCAGGAGAGGAGAAUGGAAUUCCUAGUGUAGCGGUGAAAUGCGUAGAGAUUAGGAAGAACACCAGUGGCGAAGGCGAUUCUCUGGACUGUAACUGACGCUGAGGCACGAAAGCGUGGGUAGCAAACAGGAUUAGAUACCCUGGUAGUCCACGCCGUAAACGAUGAGUAC
Molecule: ribosomal RNA, 443 nt
Filed under: uncultured bacterium
Lineage: Bacteria
Description: partial 16S ribosomal RNA
Rfam family: Bacterial small subunit ribosomal RNA
Source: RNAcentral